UUAAAUUAAGAAUUUUUGUUUUUCGUAAUUCGGUCUGGCCUCGCCGUUUCCUUAGCUGUAUGUAUGUACAUACCUUUCUCCUUCUCUCGUCUCCUGUAUCUUCUCGGCCCAAAUCCGACGCUACUCUUCGUCUCCCUCUCUCGCUCCCUCGCUCCCUCGCUCCUCUCAGUAGAAAUCUGGAAUUUCACGCCUUAAAUUUCCCAUCUUAGCUUGCAGGUAAACCGUCUCUCUAACUGCAACGCAUGAGUGAUGCAAUUGUCUAUCGUUUCAUCUUGUUUUGACUGUUCUACAUGGGUUAUUGAAUUCAAUUUUGAUUCGUCUUUCAAUUAGCGAAAUACUCGUUGUUCCUUUUCUCGGAUUCCGACUGGAUUUCGUGUCUGGCGUGAAUAAACUGCACUUUUGAGUUGUUCGUUUGACGAGCUGCUUGUUUUUUUUAGGUGAAUUUUAGGGUUCUGAUAUCAAUUCCGGUGAGAUGGUCUCUGG
RNAcentral lists this long non-coding RNA (483 nucleotides) under Carica papaya (papaya). RNAcentral describes it as "long non-coding RNA (CPAP_LNC013690)". Lineage: Eukaryota; Viridiplantae; Streptophyta; Magnoliopsida; Brassicales; Caricaceae. The record is from RNAcentral.